RNAcentral lists this ribosomal RNA (100 nucleotides) under Klebsiella quasipneumoniae. RNAcentral's name for it is "23S rRNA. Bacterial LSU". It matches the Rfam family "Bacterial large subunit ribosomal RNA", at positions 2827 to 2925 of the family's 2925-position model. The record is from RNAcentral. Lineage: Bacteria; Pseudomonadati; Pseudomonadota; Gammaproteobacteria; Enterobacterales; Enterobacteriaceae.
CUGAAGGAACGUUGAAGACGACGACGUUGAUAGGCCGGGUGUGUAAGCGCAGCGAUGCGUUGAGCUAACCGGUACUAAUGAACCGUGAGGCUUAACCUUA